GAUGAACGCUAGCGGCAGGCCUAAUACAUGCAAGUCGAACGAGAUUAAGAGGCUUGCUUCUUAUGAAAGUGGCGCACGAGUGCGUAACGCGUAUGCAACCUACCUUAAUCAGGGGGAUAGCCCGAAGAAAUUCGGAUUAAGACCGCAUAACAACACAGGAUAGCAUUAUCCAAUGUUCAAAUAUUUAUAGGAUUAAGAUGGGCAUGCGUGUCAUUAGCUAGUUGGCGGGGUAACGGCCCACCAAGGCGACGAUGACUAGGGGAUCUGAGAGGAUGACCCCCCACACUGGUACUGAGACACAGACCAGACUCCGACGGGAGGCAGCAGUAAGGAAUAUUAGUCAAUGGAGGGAACUCUGAACCAGCCAUGCCGAGUGCAGGAAGACAGCCGUCUGGGUCGUAAACUGCUGUUAUUCGAGAAUAAACCUUUCUACGUGUAGGAAGCUGAAUGUACCGAAGGAAUAAGGAUCGGCUAACUCCGUG
RNAcentral lists this ribosomal RNA (482 nucleotides) under uncultured bacterium. RNAcentral describes it as "partial 16S ribosomal RNA". It matches the Rfam family "Bacterial small subunit ribosomal RNA", at positions 28 to 507 of the family's 1533-position model. The record is from RNAcentral.